GAAAGAAAGAGAGAAAGAGAGAGAGAGAGAGAUGCAGUGAAAAUAUGGGAUAUCGUGUCAUAUGAGAGUGGAUGCAUACAUCUAGCAAUAGGUGUAAUCUUGCGAUCACAUUUCUUUCCCUCUUCCUCUUCCUCUUCUGUUUCUCUCUCUCUCUCUUUCUCUUCGGAGAUUGUGAGACAGAGAGGAAAACAGAUAGUGACAUCCUUAGAAACUGCAUU
RNAcentral lists this non-coding RNA (218 nucleotides) under uncultured Mallomonas. Lineage: Eukaryota; Synurophyceae; Synurales; Mallomonadaceae. The record is from RNAcentral.